GACAGAGGAUGCAAGCGUUAUCCGGAAUGAUUGGGCGUAAAGCGUCUGUAGGUGGCUUUUUAAGUCCGCCGUCAAAUCCCAGGGCUCAACCCUGGACAGGCGGUGGAAACUACCAAGCUGGAGUACGGUAGGGGCAGAGGGAGUUUCCGGUGGAGCGGUGAAAUGCGUAGAGAUUGGAAAGAACACCAAUGGCGAAAGCACUUUACUGGGCUAUCACUGACACUGAGAGACGAAAGCUAGGGGAGCGAAUGGG
This 253-nucleotide ribosomal RNA is filed under the name uncultured bacterium. RNAcentral describes it as "partial 16S ribosomal RNA". It matches the Rfam family "Bacterial small subunit ribosomal RNA", at positions 524 to 776 of the family's 1533-position model. The record is from RNAcentral.